This 388-nucleotide ribosomal RNA is filed under the name Patescibacteria group bacterium. RNAcentral describes it as "bacterial SSU rRNA". It matches the Rfam family "Bacterial small subunit ribosomal RNA", at positions 1 to 395 of the family's 1533-position model. The record is from RNAcentral.
UUACAAGAGAGUUUGAUCCUGGCUCAGGAUGAACGCUGGCGGCGUGCCUAAGGCAUGCAAGUUGAAAGCUGUCGCUCUCGAGCGACGGCUUGGCAAACGGGAGAGUAACACAUUGGUAACCUACCUCUAAGACGGGGAUAACCUUGCGAAAGCGAGGAUAAUACCCGAUAGUAUUGAAAGGCAUAAGUUUUUCAAUUAAAUGCUCCGACGCUUAGAGAGGGGCCUAUGGCCUAUCAGUUUGUUGGUGAGGUAAAAGCUCACCAAGACUAUGACGGGUAUGGGGUGCGAGAGCAUGGACCCACUCACUGGGACUGAGACACUGCCCAGACUCCUACGGGAGGCUGCAGUCAGGAAUAUUCCUCAAUGGACGAAAGUCUGAAGGAGCGAC